AACCCGAACCCAAAAUUAUUUUACAUUCUAUAUAAUAUAUAUAAAUAUUUGAUGUUAUAUUUGACUUUGUAUUUUAAAAAUUUAGAUUUAAUAUAAUAAAUUUUGAAAUAUUGUAAAGAGAAAUAAUUAUUUCGGGUCAGACUUUUGGGUUCGGGCUCGAACUUGGAUUUUGAAUUUUUUGUCGGGUUCUGGUUUGAAUAUAGAUUUUUAAAAUCCAUCAGAUUUGGAUUCGGGUUCGGAUUUCGAAUUUGGUAGUCGGCUUUAGGUUCAUUUUUUUUUUGAAAAUUUGUUCAGAAUCCGACCUCUCGACAUCCCUAGUUGAGAAGCUCCUCAAUGAAUUCUUAUUAAGACAAUUUGUUAGGCCAUUUAAUUAAAAAUUUAUUUUGAUCUUGUUGGGCUAAUAAGGCGCGGCCAUGUGGUACACCGAUGCUUUGCUUAACCUUAUUUCUUAAGGGUAGGAAUUUUGAUGUGCACCGGGAGCAUCGGAAGAAGCAUGAACCAUUACCGCAUGUAACUGAGGGGAGUUACAGUAACCGCAAGCGGUUACAAGCUGUUCCAAUCGGCUGGAAUGGUCCGGAAAAAUAGGAAUAGUGGUCGAUCAUGGAUGAGAAAUAACUGAUCCACAGGGGCGAGCUAUAAAUAGUCAAAUAAUGCCCUGAAAACAGGUCUUUUUCCCGUGAACAGAAGAUCAUCUUUUUUUCCUCUGCAAUUUCCUCGCAUUCUCUAGGAGUAGUUUACUUGUAAUCUUUUACUUUCCAGCACUUACUGUUUUUUCUAGGAGUAGAGUUAAGUUAGAGCAACCGAGUCUGUAUGCCUUCAGGCAUACUCAACCCUUUGUACUUUUUCAUAAGUUGAUAUAAAGGUAUUCGACUCAUCAGCCGGCCUAAAAGCCUUUGUUUUCCGUACAUUCGGCUCACCCAGCCGAACCUAGUCCAUAGUAAUUGUCUUCGAACUCGCACAGUAGAAGUUUUCGAACUCGGCUGAUUCGAUCCUUAUCAGUCAAAUCGCUUGAUCCAGUUGAAGGGCGCAAACUUCGAGGGUCACUAGUCACGGCCGUUCCGCAUCCCUACACUCUUUCCGAGAGAGAUCUUUGAUCGGGUCAAGGAUCAGAGAAUUCGGCUCCUAUAACAGAACUAAAAUAUUUUUGUUCCAAUUUUAAC
RNAcentral lists this long non-coding RNA (1160 nucleotides) under Ananas comosus (pineapple). Its description in RNAcentral is "long non-coding RNA (ACOM_LNC023618)". Lineage: Eukaryota; Viridiplantae; Streptophyta; Magnoliopsida; Poales; Bromeliaceae. The record is from RNAcentral.